UACGUAGGGGGCUAGCGUUGUCCGGAAUCAUUGGGCGUAAAGAGCGUGUAGGCGGUCCGGUAAGUCCGCUGUGAAAGCCGGGGGCUCAACCCUCGAAUGCCGGUGGAUACUGUCGGGCUAGAGUGCGGAAGAGGCGAGUGGAAUUCCUGGUGUAGCGGUGAAAUGCGCAGAUAUCAGGAGGAACACCGAUUGCGAAGGCAGCUCGCUGGGACGUAACUGACGCUGAGGCGCGAAAGCGUGGGGAGCAAACAGG
Molecule: ribosomal RNA, 253 nt
Filed under: uncultured bacterium
Lineage: Bacteria
Description: partial 16S ribosomal RNA
Rfam family: Bacterial small subunit ribosomal RNA
Source: RNAcentral